Salmo salar (Atlantic salmon) is the source of this 53-nucleotide non-coding RNA. The record is from Rfam. Lineage: Eukaryota; Metazoa; Chordata; Actinopteri; Salmoniformes; Salmonidae.
UAUGAAAAUGUAUGCAGGCGCUCUGGAUAAGAGCGUCUGCUAAAUGACUAAAA